This 253-nucleotide ribosomal RNA is filed under the name uncultured bacterium. RNAcentral describes it as "partial 16S ribosomal RNA". It matches the Rfam family "Bacterial small subunit ribosomal RNA", at positions 524 to 776 of the family's 1533-position model. The record is from RNAcentral.
UACGUAGGGUGCGAGCGUUAAUCGGAAUUACUGGGCGUAAAGCGUGCGCAGGCGGUUCGUUGUGUCUGUGGUGAAAGCCCCGGGCUUAACCUGGGAAUGGCCAUGGAAACUGGCGAGCUGGAGUGUGGCAGAGGGGGGUGGAAUUCCACGUGUAGCGGUGAAAUGCGUAGAGAUGUGGAGGAACACCGAUGGCGAAGGCAGCCUCCUGGGCCAACACUGACGCUCAUGCACGAAAGCGUGGGGAGCAAACAGG